Long non-coding RNA from Homo sapiens (human), 3255 nucleotides. The record is from Ensembl. Lineage: Eukaryota; Metazoa; Chordata; Mammalia; Primates; Hominidae.
AUAUUUUCAGCAUCACAUUUUAAGAAUAAUAUGUGAAAUACAAUAUGUUUUAUUAGUCACCUUUGGAAAAUACAGUCUUCCACAAUCUGGAACCACCUCUUUGGUUCAAAAUGUGCCAUUCUUCUGUAAUGUGUGUGAUAAACUUAAAAAAAAUCUGUAUCCUUUAUCCUAAUCAUCUUACUUGAACAUCAUCCUGAAACAAAUGACAAAAACAUUCACAGUUUUAUAUACAAAGUUAUUGGUAACAAUGUUCUUAAUAGAAUUCAAUUAGAAAACAUAUAAAGGCAAAGGUAGAGUUAUUUGAUGUUAUGGUUUGAAAGGAUUCCCACACUCUCAUGAAUAUUCUUUAUUAUGCCAGAGGGACCCUAAUUCCCCUGCCUUUGAGUGUGGGAUGGCAUUGAUGAGUUACUUGUACCACAUAUAAUAAGCAGGAAGUGAUGGCACGUGACAUUGGAAACAACUUCGUAAAAGUCACCGAGACUCACUCCUUGCUUUCUCCUAUGUCUCCCACCUGGCAGGAAGCCAUUUGCCAUCAUGUAAGGCGAGUUCUUCUUAGUGAGGCAUUGACAUCUCCAGCCAGCAGUGCCGUGAGGGAGGUGGGCAGCUCAAGCCUCAGUCAAACCCUGAGAUGACCAUGGUCCCACUCAACAUCUCAGCUGUGACCAUGUGGGAGAAUCCAAGCCUGAGCCAAUCAGCCUAGCUGCUCCCAGAGUCCUGACUCUCAGAAACCAUGCCAGAUUAUACAUAUCUGCAGCUUUAAGCUUCUGAGAUUUUGGAAUGACUGAUGACAGAGCAAUAAAUAACUAAUACAUUUCACCACAUAUCACUUAGCAGAAUGCCAUGGAGCUAUUAAACACAAUAUUUUAUGAAGAUUAGUCUAUGAUAUGGAGAUAUACUCACAAUGUUAUUAGCAACACAACUAGACCAACUGAGUAUAGGUAGUAUAAUCUCAAUUUGUUCUAAAAAUAUAAAUCUGUACAAAGAUAGAAAGACCAGAAGAAAAAAACCAUUUAAUACUUGAUAGAUAAUUACAAUGGUAAAGAAUUUAGCCUUGAUCACUUGAUUUGAGAUGGAAUCUAACUUGCUAGCUGUAUACCCAUAGUUGUGGAUGUGUAACCAAUGAUUUGUAAACUAAUUCUCAGUUUACUCGUCUAUAUAAAAGAGCUAGUAAUAUUACCUAUUUCAUGCGGCUUGGGAGAAAUGAAUCAAUAAUAUAUAGAAGGGCUUAGUUCUCAUAUUGUGGCAAGUACUUCACAAAUGAUAAUUUUUACUAUUACAAUUUUUAUAAGGCUUUCUGUAAUUCACAAAUUUUCUAAUAUCUAUUUUAUGACUUUUGAAAUAAUUCUUACAAUAUCCCUUUUAGUAACCUUUAUUACAAAAUCUAUUGUAAUCUCUUAAAAUAAUAUUCCUUUUUGUUUUUCUCCGAGAUAGUCUAUCUAAUGAUGUUACAAUAGAGUUACCAACAAAUGCCAUAUUUCAUUCCUGAGCGUCUAUAUUCUUGAGUUCCUAGCAACAGAGAACAAAGUAGCAACCAUUUCUUAAGAAAAUGCUGAGAUGGACACCAGAGUUUCAAGCAAUUUUCAUCCAGAAGGUCACAUGUUAGGAGUAAAAGCUAUAUGGAAUCUUGAACAAGCAUAGCAUCUAAUAGCCUUAUUUGAUUAAAAAAAUGAAUACACACAAAAAUUUUUUGAAGACUAACUACCCCUUAGAAAUGUUCGUUAACUUGGUCAGUAAUAUAAGCCUACCUCCCAUUUAUUCAAUAGAUCAGGUAACUCCCCUCUUUGUUAUGAGCCUAGUUUUCUAGAGGUGGACCAGAUUCCAUCAUAUGUACAUCACUCAGCUAGUUGAGCUCUCUAAAUGAAAACUUCAGCCGUAGCCACUGGAUAGAAGAAUACAAGAAGGAAUGCCGACUUGAGGAGCAAGUUGUGUUGAGUUCAGGCAUUGCUUUGGAGAAUCUGCUUCUUCACCUGCUGGCUUAAAGGGUUGGAUGACCUGAGGCAGCAGCAGAAGUUUAGACAAUUAUGGUUGGAUGAUUCUUAACUGUCCUAAUCCCAAGUCCUCAAUUUAUAAGUGAGGAACUGGAAAAUCAUUCACACAGCUAGCUGCAAGCAAUGACAGCCUUGGAGAGAAAUCAACCUGUGUACAGCUCAGUCCCAUCUGAGUUCUUUGGAGAACAAACUCCAGCAGCUACUUCUAGAAAAUAUAGACAGCAUAUUCAGCCAAUCUCCUGAGCUGGUGGGACAUUUUUACAUGAACAAGGCCUCCCUCCACAUGAAUUGCAAAGAUUCAGUGGACUUUGCAUGAUUAUUCUUCUAAUCUUACAUUAAGCUUUAUUUUGGAUUUUAAAAAAAUCUGCCACGUGUAAGGGCACCAAUGUCCACCAAUAUUGUUAUAUAAAAUAACAUUAUUAAUCCUUCCUGUUUAUCUUUUAAUCAGAACUAAGAGGGAUGGUGGAUGAUGAAUGCAUGAGUCAUACUUACUUCAUGAUUCUAUAAAUCCUAAUUUUCACUUUUUUUAAAUAAAAAUUGCACGCAAACCAAAAAGAAGCUGCCUAAAACAGACGUGGAGAUACUCUACUUAGGUUUCCCAGGGAAAGACAAUUUUAAAAAACAAUUUUAGCAACAAAAAUACAUGGGCAGGGAAUACACGCAUUUAUUAUCAUUUUUCCUCUUAAAGCAGCUAUGAUGAGACACGUCCAAAACACCUGCUCUUGUGUACUGCCCAGUUUCACGUGAGUUCUGUGGGAUAACACUGAAUCCACUCUUCAGCUACAGUGAGGAAGUGAUAGAACUGCUUCUGGCACACCAAAGAACAGCACAGAGGUCCAAAUACAUCUUCCUUAGGUGCCCAUGAAUUUAAAUUUAUUUCUGCUUUAUCCUUUAAAAAAAAAUCUAAUGAUUUCAAAUGCCUUGCUGAAAUCAACACCCUCUGCAACAGCCCUCUCAGGAUAGUUCAUCCUAGUAGGUCUGUCAAAACUGAAACACCAACAUGUGAGUUCCUCCUCUGGGUUUUAAAUGUUAGUACUGUGACUACUUCUUUGUUUGUUUUCACUUUUAAUUGACAAAUAAUAACUGUAUAUGUUAUACAGUAAAUCUGACAUUUUGAUAUAAAAUGAUAACUAGUGACUAUUUAUUGCUGUGAUGUUGUCCCCGCUUGUUUAUUGGCUCUGAUGGAACUUUUCAGGGGAAUGGUUAUAACUGAAAAAUCUGUAAUGCUAGGAAUUUAACUUUUCUACAUAAAAUGCAUUUUUUCUUA